CCCUUAGAUGUCCUGGGCCGCACGCGCGCUACACUGAACGGAUCAGCGCGUUUUCCCUUCCCGAGAGGGACGGGUAACCUGCUGAACCCCGUUCGUGGUAGGGAUCGGGGCUUGCAAUUAUUCCCCGUGAACCAGGAAUGCCCAGUAAGUGCAAGUCAUAAGCUUGCGUUGAUUACGUCCCUGCCCUUUGUACACACCGCCCGUCGCUACUACCGAUUGAACGUUUUAGUGAGGUACUCGGACUGAGCCUCAGAAGAUUCACGUCUUUUGUGCUGCUCGGGAAGAUUCCCAAACUUGAGCGUUUAGAGGAGGUAAAAGUCGUAACA
Molecule: ribosomal RNA, 326 nt
Filed under: uncultured eukaryote
Lineage: Eukaryota
Description: partial 18S ribosomal RNA
Rfam family: Eukaryotic small subunit ribosomal RNA
Source: RNAcentral